RNAcentral lists this small RNA (28 nucleotides) under Bombyx mori (domestic silkworm). RNAcentral's name for it is "ovarian small RNA-23274". The record is from RNAcentral. Lineage: Eukaryota; Metazoa; Arthropoda; Insecta; Lepidoptera; Bombycidae.
UAUAAGGUAAUUUCCAAUAUGUUUGUGA